UGUGUGUGUGAAUAUGAUGUUAGAUGCCUU
This 30-nucleotide non-coding RNA is filed under the name Mus musculus (house mouse). The record is from RNAcentral. Lineage: Eukaryota; Metazoa; Chordata; Mammalia; Rodentia; Muridae.